RNAcentral lists this ribosomal RNA (557 nucleotides) under Erythrobacter sp. CPCC100556. RNAcentral describes it as "bacterial SSU rRNA". It matches the Rfam family "Bacterial small subunit ribosomal RNA", at positions 95 to 687 of the family's 1533-position model. Lineage: Bacteria; Pseudomonadati; Pseudomonadota; Alphaproteobacteria; Sphingomonadales; Erythrobacteraceae. The record is from RNAcentral.
GUGGCGCACGGGUGCGUAACGCGUGGGAACCUGCCUUUAGGUUCGGAAUAACUCAGAGAAAUUUGAGCUAAUACCGGAUAAUGUCUUCGGACCAAAGAUUUAUCGCCUUUAGAUGGGCCCGCGUUAGAUUAGAUAGUUGGUGGGGUAAUGGCCUACCAAGUCGACGAUCUAUAGCUGGUCUGAGAGGAUGAUCAGCCACACUGGGACUGAGACACGGCCCAGACUCCUACGGGAGGCAGCAGUGGGGAAUAUUGGACAAUGGGCGAAAGCCUGAUCCAGCAAUGCCGCGUGAGUGAUGAAGGCCUUAGGGUUGUAAAGCUCUUUUACUAGGGAUGAUAAUGACAGUACCUAGAGAAUAAGCUCCGGCUAACUCCGUGCCAGCAGCCGCGGUAAUACGGAGGGAGCUAGCGUUGUUCGGAAUUACUGGGCGUAAAGAGAACGUAGGCGGCUAUCCAAGUCAGGGGUGAAAUCCCGGGGCUCAACCCCGGAACUGCCCUUGAAACUAGGUAGCUAGAAUCCUGGAGAGGUUAGUGGAAUUCCGAGUGUAGAGGUGAAAU